Molecule: ribosomal RNA, 257 nt
Filed under: uncultured prokaryote
Description: partial 16S ribosomal RNA
Rfam family: Bacterial small subunit ribosomal RNA
Source: RNAcentral
UACGGAGGAUCCGAGCGUUAUCCGGAUUUAUUGGGUUUAAAGGGUGCGCAGGUUGUUUGAUAAGUCAGUGGUGAAAGUCUGUCGCUUAACGGUAGGAUUGCCAUUGAUACUGUUGGACUUGAAUAUGGAUGAGGUAGGCGGAAUGUGUAGUGUAGCGGUGAAAUGCAUAGAUAUUACACAGAACACCGAUUGCGAAGGAAGCUUACUAAUCCAUCAUUGACGCUGAGGCACGAAAGCGUGGGGAUCAAACAGGAUUA